Pyrus x bretschneideri (Chinese white pear) is the source of this 758-nucleotide long non-coding RNA. RefSeq lists it as uncharacterized. NCBI's taxonomy places the organism in Eukaryota, Viridiplantae, Streptophyta, Magnoliopsida, Rosales, Rosaceae. The record is from RefSeq and is a predicted model, not a curated record. The transcript is spliced from 2 exons.
CAAAACUCAUCAUUUACAAUAUUAUAUUAGGAUUUUAAGUUUUAAGGAUGUUUUUGUCUUUUUGUUAUUUAUUUAAUUUUAGGCUUCCUUACGCAAGGAUUUCAAUUUAAAUGGUUAUGGAGUGGGUUAUCUCUCUUGCUCCUCUCAUAACUUAAUUCAAGAUCGAACUCUUGAAUUUUUGCUCUCAACUGAAGAUUUUCUCGCACUAAAUCUUCUCUCAAUUUUCUUUCUUAAAACAGAGGACAUCAAAAUUCAAAUUCUAAAACGAGAAGAACAAGGGUGAGAAAAUUAGCAGUUGAAGAACCAUUUGCCAUACUGACAAUGGUGGAUGGACACUUGGAAUGAACCAGAUAGUUUGGCCCUCCUAGCCUUCAAAGCUGGAACAAAGCAAGAUGCUCAUAAUGUAAUGAGCUCCUGGAACGAAUCCCUUCGCGUUGGAAUGUGGCAAGGUGUCGCAGGUAGUCGGCGACAUCCGCAAAAGGUCACAAUGUUGUACCUAUAAUCUCAUAAGGUGGCAGGGUCCCUUUCCCCACCCAUAGGAAAUCUAAGUUUUUUUGGGAGUACGGCUACAACGACAGUUUUGACGAUGAAAUUGUAGAAAAACUCAGUAGACAGAGAAGGAGAUAGCAAGAGCUGUUUACUGUUUGUGGAACGCUUAGCCUUUCUUCAUUCAUUAUCACGGUACAAGUAUAUAUACAAGAGACGAGUCCUGUACAAAGUGAUACAUAUCUGAGAAUUAUCCACAAUUAUAUUUGAAU